Molecule: long non-coding RNA, 798 nt
Organism: Apis laboriosa (Himalayan honeybee)
Lineage: Eukaryota; Metazoa; Arthropoda; Insecta; Hymenoptera; Apidae
Exons: 5
Source: RefSeq, a predicted model, not a curated record
AAAAAAUCAAUGAAACAAUAUAAAUUAAUUAAUCAUAGAAUAAAAGAGUGACAUCUCUAUGAAUAUGGCUACUGGAAAUAUAUCUGAUAUUCCAGAUAAAUAUUGGCAUCCAUCAUUUGUAGCAUUUAAGAUGAUAUCGAUUUGGUAAUAGUACAAUAUUUUUGAGUGAACUAUAUAUAUACAUAUAUAUGUUGAAUAUUAUACUGUCGACCAUGAGAUUUAUUUAAAAUUAUUCUUGUUUUUCGAAUGAUAAUGAUUCUAUUGAAAUUGCAAAAAAUAAUAUAUUUAUUUCUGGAGAAUUCAUAAUGAUCUGAAACAUAUUGAUUAAGCCGCAUAAUCGCAGAAUGGUACAGCCAAACGAUCAAGAGGCAUAGAGACAUAUUAUGAUCCACGAUGAGCAGCUACAAACAAAGAACAAUAUACAUGUUAUUCUGCUGAUGAUAUUCGAUAUCCAAAAGUUCCUUAGAAAAAGAAUGAUAGAGACCGUUCUGUGUUCUCUUAUUAUCAUUUUUGAAAAGGUAAAGAUGAGCAGAAGUAGGAUUGCCGGACAAUAAAUAAUCAAUUCUUCUUCGACGAAUUUUACAUAGAAAAUAUGUAAUCAUCACAUUAUAUUGCUAUAUUAUAUUGCUAUAUUAUAUAUAUUGCUGUUGUAUUAGACAAAAGAAUGUCACGUAUUAUGAUGUUUUGUUUUGGAUCAUAUAGUAUAUCUGUCUAAUGUACUAUUCAAUAUUAAAAAAAUAUCUCUUAUAAAAUAUAUCUUGAAAUAAUAUAAAAGCAAAAAAAGUUCUUUAAAGUUGU